CAGCAGCCGCGGUAAGACAGAGGAUGCAAGCGUUAUCCAGAAUGAUUGGGUGUAAAGCGUCUGUAGGUGGCUUUUCAAGUCCGCCGUCAAAUCCCAGGGCUAAACCCUGGACAGGCGAUGGAAACUACCAAGCUGGAGUAUGGUAGGGGCAGAGGGAAUUUCCGGUGGAGAGGUGAAAUGCGUUGAGAUCAGAAAGACACCAACGGCGAAAGCACUCUGCUGGGCCGACACUGACACUGAGAGACGAAAGCUAGGGGAGCAAAUGGGAUUAGAUACCCCAGUAGUCCCUGUCUCUUAUACA
RNAcentral lists this ribosomal RNA (301 nucleotides) under uncultured bacterium. Its description in RNAcentral is "partial 16S ribosomal RNA". It matches the Rfam family "Bacterial small subunit ribosomal RNA", at positions 509 to 808 of the family's 1533-position model. The record is from RNAcentral.